GCCGUCUUUUACUGGUGCCCAUAAUGGCCAAGCACGUCCGAAAAUUCUCUUUCUCACCGGAAUAUUCUUGUUAUUGGUCUUCCCUAAUUGCUGGAAGCUGCUUGGUAAUCUUGUGUUUAGUUUUGAUUCUGGGUCAUGGUAGCAUGGCUCCAGGAUGUCAUAAACGUUUAGCCCUUCCAGUGCCUUGUCAACUUUAUCAAGGAUUUUAGAGCAAAUAAUGCC
RNAcentral lists this unclassified non-coding RNA (222 nucleotides) under Hevea brasiliensis (rubber tree). Lineage: Eukaryota; Viridiplantae; Streptophyta; Magnoliopsida; Malpighiales; Euphorbiaceae. The record is from RNAcentral.